RNAcentral lists this ribosomal RNA (253 nucleotides) under uncultured bacterium. RNAcentral's name for it is "partial 16S ribosomal RNA". It matches the Rfam family "Bacterial small subunit ribosomal RNA", at positions 524 to 776 of the family's 1533-position model. The record is from RNAcentral.
UACGGAGGGGGCUAGCGUUGUUCGGAAUUACUGGGCGUAAAGCGCACGUAGGCGGCUUUCUAAGUCAGGGGUGAAAUCCUGGAGCUCAACUCCAGAACUGCCUUUGAUACUGGAAAGCUUGAGUCCGGGAGAGGUGAGUGGAACUGCGAGUGUAGAGGUGAAAUUCGUAGAUAUUCGCAAGAACACCAGUGGCGAAGGCGGCUCACUGGCCCGGUACUGACGCUGAGGUGCGAAAGCGUGGGGAGCAAACAGG